This 980-nucleotide ribosomal RNA is filed under the name uncultured bacterium. Its description in RNAcentral is "bacterial SSU rRNA". It matches the Rfam family "Bacterial small subunit ribosomal RNA", at positions 8 to 982 of the family's 1533-position model. The record is from RNAcentral.
AGAGUUUGAUUAUGGCUCAGGAUGAACGCUAGCGAUAGGCUUAACACAUGCAAGUCGAGGGGCAGCAUAAAGGUAGCAAUACUUUGGUGGCGACCGGCGCACGGGUGAGUAACACGUAUGCAACCUACCCAUAACUGGGGGAUAGCUCGUCGAAAGGCGAAUUAAUACCGCAUAAAGCAGGGGCUCCGCAUGGAGAUAUUUGCUAAAGAUUUAUUGGUUAUGGAUGGGCAUGCGCUCCAUUAGGUAGUUGGUAUGGGUAACGGCCUACCAAGCCAUCGAUGGAUAGGGGAACUGAGAGGUUUAUCCCCCACACUGGUACUGAGACACGGACCAGACUCCUACGGGAGGCAGCAGUGAGGAAUAUUGGUCAAUGGGCGAGAGCCUGAACCAGCCAAAUCGCGUGAAGGAUGACGGUAUUAUGUAUUGUAAACUUCUUUUAUGAGGGAAUAAAGUGGGGCAUGUAUGCUCUUUUGUAUGUACCUUAGGAAUAAGCAUCGGCUAACUCCGUGCCAGCAGCCGCGGUAAUACGGAGGAUGCGAGCGUUAUCCGGAUUUAUUGGGUUUAAAGGGUGCGUAGGUGGAUUGGUCAGUCAGCGGUGAAAUCUCGGAGCUUAACUCUGAAACUGCCGUUGAAACUUCCAAUCUUGAGUGUGAACGAGGUAGGCGGAAUUCGUAGUGUAGCGGUGAAAUGCAUAGAUAUUACGAAGAACUCCGAUAGCGCAGGCAGCUUACCAGGCCACAACUGACACUGAUGCACGAAAGUGUGGGUAUCAAACAGGAUUAGAUACCCUGGUAGUCCACACAGUAAACGAUGAAUACUAACUGUUUGCGAUAUACAGUAAGCGGUACAGCGAAAGCGUUAAGUAUUCCACCUGGGGAGUACGCCGGCAACGGUGAAACUCAAAGGAAUUGACGGGGCCCGCACAAGCGGAGGAACAUGUGGUUUAAUUCGAUGAUACGCGAGGAACCUUACCCGGGCUC